RNAcentral lists this ribosomal RNA (501 nucleotides) under uncultured bacterium. Its description in RNAcentral is "partial 16S ribosomal RNA". It matches the Rfam family "Bacterial small subunit ribosomal RNA", at positions 30 to 523 of the family's 1533-position model. The record is from RNAcentral.
AUUGAACGCUGGCGGCAGGCUUAACACAUGCAAGUCGAGCGGGGGAAGGUAGCUUGCUACCGGACCUAGCGGCGGACGGGUGAGUAAUGCUUAGGAAUCUGCCUAUUAGUGGGGGACAACAUCUCGAAAGGGAUGCAAAUACCGCAUACGCCCUACGGGGGAAAGCAGGGGAUCUUCGGACCUUGCGCUAAUAGCUGAGCCUAAGUCGGAUUAGCUAGUUGGUGGGGUAAAGGCCUACCAAGGCGACGAUCUGUAGCGGGUCUGAGAGGAUGAUCCGCCACACUGGGACUGAGACACGGCCCAGACUCCUACGGGAGGCAGCAGUGGGGAAUAUUGGACAAUGGGCGGAAGCCUGAUCCAGCCAUGCCGCGUGUGUGAAGAAGGCCUUUUGGUUGUAAAGCACUUUAAGCGAGGAGGAGGCUACUUAGAUUAAUACUCUGGGAUAGUGGACGUUACUCGCAGAAUAAGCACCGGCUAACUCUGUGCCAGCCGCCGCCGUAA